Long non-coding RNA from Carya illinoinensis, 1180 nucleotides. RefSeq lists it as uncharacterized. The transcript has 3 exons. The record is from RefSeq and is a predicted model, not a curated record. NCBI's taxonomy places the organism in Eukaryota, Viridiplantae, Streptophyta, Magnoliopsida, Fagales, Juglandaceae.
UAUUGCAGAAAAAAUCAAAGCAAAAUACAGCCAAUAGGAAAAAGCAGCGGGUGAACCACACUGCAGGCAGAAAAUCUUUUGUGAGGUUAAUACAAGAGAUGGGUCCAAGCGCAGACAACUUGGUUAAUUUCUACAAAGAAACUCAUUGGUCAAAGAAAAAAGGGACAUUUGUCACUCCCAUGACAGAAACUUACUAUGUGCGUGCUCUCUAACUUAGUGCCUUUCCGUGAGUUUGUUCCAUUCAAGGAACCCCAUUUAACAUUGGUUAUUUCCCAUAACAUUAACUCAUACAAUAUGUAUUGAUUGCAUCAGAAUACAAUGUGUGAGAAAUUAGAUGAGAUUCAGCCUGAGGAGCGCACAGAUGAGGCUGCAAAUACAAUAUUCAGAGAGGUGCUAGGCCAUAGGUCUGGUUAUACAAGAGGACUUGGUGGUUCAGUUAUAACUGAGACUAGACCAUCAGCUAUGUUGGCACAACUUGAGCACCUAGGCCAAGAAAAUGAGAAGUAUAAAAAUAGGCAUUGAUGUACAAGACAGAAUUGGAUGAGAUGAAAAGGGAUGUCAGACAAUUAUUAGUUUGGCAAAUGUCCUAUGACAAGAGGAUGGAUGACUCAACAUCUCAAAGAGUGUCUAAUAGAGACACUCAAGGAGAUGUUUAGCUGGAUGGGAUUCUAAACUGGGAGUGAUUUUGAUAUUUUGUUAAGUAUUACUAACUUUUGGUGGCAGGAACAUAUUUACAUACAUAGUUGUGGUGGGGGACAUGGUGCAGGUUUUCUGAAGUUGGUUUUAGUUGCUGGAAUGGCAUCCCAACAGAGUGAUGGGCAUAUAAUUGUUGGAACUGGGGCUGUGAAACAGUUUGUUAAAGGCUUCUCUGGCCCUUUGUAUAUAUGACAGGUAACAUGAUAUGAGCAAAGCUUGUAAUGUUUUGAUGCACCAAUGAACCUGCCUACAGGAUGCUAUAUAUAGACUUCACUCCCAGGUUUAAAUGUAUAUAUAGCCAUGUUGAGGACUGAUCCCAUGAGUGGCACAUGAUAUUUCUAGCACACCAGUGGUAGAUACUAUAUAUUUAAGAAUAUAAGCUUGAUUUUGCAUGACAUUUCCUCUUUAUGUCGUGUAUAAUGUAUAAUGUUCUGAACGUAAAUGAGAUGUUAAUUCAAGCUUCUAUGAAAACUAGAUGGCAAUA